RNAcentral lists this ribosomal RNA (326 nucleotides) under uncultured bacterium. RNAcentral describes it as "bacterial SSU rRNA". It matches the Rfam family "Bacterial small subunit ribosomal RNA", at positions 28 to 334 of the family's 1533-position model. The record is from RNAcentral.
GAUGAACGCUGGCGGCGCGCUUAACACAUGCAAGUCGAGCGAAGCACUUAGGUUCGAUUCUUCGGAUGAAGACUUUUGUGACUGAGCGGGCGACGGGUGAAGGUACGCGUAGGGUAACCUGCCUCAUACAGGGGGAUAACAGUUAGAAAUGGCUGCUAAUACCGCAUAAGACCACGGUACUGCAUGGUACAGUGGUAAAAACUCCGGUGGUAUGAGAUGGACCCGCGUCUGAUUAGGUAGUUGGUGGGGUAACGGCCUACCAAGCCGACGAUCAGUAGCCGACCUGAGAGGGUGACCGGCCACAUUGGGACUGAGACACGGCUCAA